Non-coding RNA from Schistosoma mattheei, 46 nucleotides. Lineage: Eukaryota; Metazoa; Platyhelminthes; Trematoda; Strigeidida; Schistosomatidae. The record is from Rfam.
AUCCAACUGGCGAGUCCCAAAAUAGGACGGAGCAUGCGUCCUGGAU